CCAAGGACCGAUGCCAGGAGGUGGCGGGGCCAGGACGGACCCCAACCAGUCCGCCUCCCCAGGCUCCUCCCGCCUCUCCGGCCCCUCUGGAAAGUCCGCUGGGGCCCCCAGGCGGGGACGGGCUCCCGCCCCGGAGCUCCCUCAACAGCAGUGACGCGAGGACAUAACGACCGACCGAGAGCACCAGCCGCUGCGACCGCAACGACCGUUUCCCGAGCCCCCGUCCCCUGAACUGACCGCGUGGAAGGGACUGGCGCCUGGGCCCCAGACCGAGGCUCACCACGCGCCACCACCCACCAUGCUCCCGCCAGCGCCGUGCGGACAGCCGCUUGGAGGGUCCACAGACAGCAUGUCGAAGACCCGGCCCCCCAUUUACCUGCUCUGUGUCCUAGGCUAGCGCUCCUCUACUGGGGGGUCCGGCGGGACCCACCGCCCUGGGCGUGAGGGCGAGGAUGAAGGGACGACCACCAUGAGCACCUCCGGGGCGGGGUCCCCGGCCCCAGGCCCCCGUGGCAGGGCACCUGCCCGGGGAGCGAGUGAGGCAGGAAGCGGCCGUACCAGCCUCCAGCUCUGGCGAGAGCUGCUCAAAAUCCGGCACGUCCUUGACCAGCACGUUGGGCACCGCCCAGUUGAGACACAGGCCCGUCUGCUGGCCUCCGUCACGGCCAGUGUCCCGGGUCCCAUCAGCUGGGACCGGGGGCUCCUUAGACACCAACAUCCACAGCACCGGCUCCUUGGCCUGCUCUGCUCCUGUUUCCUGUGCACUUUGUUAUGGUGAAUCAGAGCCUAGAUCUGAAGACCCGGGCCGGGGUUCACAUCCACCUGCAAGACCGUGACCUAACAGCUCCAUGCCUCGGUUUCCCUCUCCGCGAAGGGGGAAAAUUAAGACUCGCUUUAUACGGCUGUUCUGAGAAUCAGACGAGAUGAAUACACAAAGCGCAGGCCCAGCAUCCCGUUGAGGCCAAGCACAGAGUGGCUGCCGAGGAGGAGAAUGGGCGAGCCAACGUCCCUGAACUCUCAAGCACCCAAGAGGCAGGCCCGGCCCGGUGCUCACGUGGCACGUGACCCCGGCUACUGUGGGGGCGGCCACCUACCGCGUCUCUCCAGGAACCUCAGGGCGUCCAGACUCCCCGGCUGGCUGGCUGCUCUGGCUCCAGGCCCUCCCGUCUCCGGCCUCAGUUCCCUCCUCCGGAAACUGGGAUGACAAGGCCUGGCACAGGAUACCUGGGACACCGCCUGUUCCCCAUAAGUCAAGGACGGUGGUUCCCUUCGUCCUUUCGACGUUUAUUCCCAGGACCAGCCUGAGGUGGCAGAGGAACCCAGGGGCCCCCGCGGGGCCGUCUCAAUCAGAGCCCCACUCAUGGAGAAAAGGCACCUGCAGGCCCAGCCAGGAGCUUUGCCUUCACUGCUGUGUGACCUCAGGACGGCCACACCACCUUUCUGAGAGCCUUCGUUUGUCUGUAGAAUGGGGCUAAGACUCUGUCCACUCCAGGGGUGCAGGCAGGAGCAGAGUAAAUGAACACAGCCUCGUUUCAUAAAGUGUAAAACCCUACUCAACAAGAGGUGUGAAGGAGGGAGGGCUGGGGCGUGGUUGGGGUGGAGGAGUGCGUUAUCAUGAUAAACCGUGGUCAGAUUACCCAUUUUCCAGAAAUAACAAGGGGCCAAAGGCAGGAAAUGUGGGUCUAUUGUCCAUCAUCUCUGAGCUUGGGCCUCACCUCCACGUGAUGGCCAGUCAUCUGGCCAGGGUUUAGGGCAGCGGUUGAAAGCGUGGGUCUGGGCUAGCUGAGGAUUCGAAACGUGGCUUUGCCGCUUCCAGGCUGUGUGACUUUGAACAAGUCGCUUAACCUUUCUGAGCCUUAGCAUCCCCAUCCCGGGAAACAGAGAUGACAACAGGACCUUCUGCAGAGCCUGACCCAGAGGAGUGCCAGCAGAGGCCUGGCUCAAACCCAAGCUCAGUGGGAUUGGCGUUAACGUGCUCCCCUGGCCACAAACCCUUGACCACUUGGGGCCAGUCCUAACUCAACACUUGCUCAAGGAGGGGAAGACUAGCAAGGGCAUGACCUGAGCCCCAGCUGUGGGUUCGAGGGCUUGGUGGACACAUGUGUCCCAACCACCCUCAGACUGUGGGAAGGGAUCAGGGCCACACAGUGUGACUCACGGGGCCCUUGACCAUGGCCCCGGCUUCGAGGCCAGGCGCUGGGCCAGUCCUACCUCAAGAUCGG
Equus caballus (horse) is the source of this 2222-nucleotide non-coding RNA. NCBI's taxonomy places the organism in Eukaryota, Metazoa, Chordata, Mammalia, Perissodactyla, Equidae. The record is from RefSeq and is a predicted model, not a curated record.